This 291-nucleotide long non-coding RNA is filed under the name Hordeum vulgare. RNAcentral describes it as "long non-coding RNA (HVUL_LNC002699)". Lineage: Eukaryota; Viridiplantae; Streptophyta; Magnoliopsida; Poales; Poaceae. The record is from RNAcentral.
CCCCGACCGAGCCACAUACCGGGUCAGGGACACAAACCGGUCCAACGCACCCUCAUAGGUCGUCGCCGCCGCUUUCCAUCAAUCCAUCUUCAGAAGAGUUACUGACGCAUCGACCUUGCAAGGCCUGCCGUCGAUGCCCCCACGGCGCCAGACAGCGCCUCCUCCCUACGCGCGCUCAUCAUCACGCAUCCGUCCUCGAGACUUUGCUCCGCCUCGCCGCCGAGACUCCACGACGUCGAUGUGUCACAAGGAACGCCGCUCCAUCGUUGAUGCCGACCAAUGAUCCCUCGA